GUGGUUGUCGACUUGCGGGCGGCCCCCCUCCGCAGCGGUGGGGGUGCUGUCCCGCCGGCCCGUCGUGCUGCCCUCCCGGGGAGUUUGCGCGAGCGUUGGCUCCCCCUGGGCCUUUGCGGUGCUCCUGGAGCGCUCCGGGUUGUCCCUCAGGUUCCCGAGGCCGAGCGGUGGUGUGUCGUUCCCACCCCCAGCGCCCCCUCCUCCGGUCGGCGCCUCGGUGUCCGCGCGUGGGUCCUGAGGGAGCUCGUCGGUGUGGGGUUCGAGGCGGUUGAGUGAGACGAGACGCGCCCCUCCCACGCGGGGAAGGGCGCCCGCCUGGUCCGGCGAGCGCACGUCCGGUGCUCCCCUCUGGCGGGUGCGCACGGGCCCUGUGAGCGAUCGCGGUGGGCUUGGGCUGGUGACGCGUGCGCCGGCCGGCCGCCGAGGGGCUACCGUUCUGCCUCCGACCGGUCGUGUGUGGGUUUACUCGGAGGUGCUUUGCCUCUGAAGAAAAGAGGCGGGUGGACGGGGUGGGGGGGGGGGUGGGAGGCGGGGGCUUGUGGAGUUGCGCUCACGCUCGCACCUGCCGGUCCCCGCCCUGACCGCGAACGCUCAAGGUUGCCGCACGCAGGUUUUUCCUGGUACCACAGGCCCCCUCCCUUCCCCAGGCCUCCCUGAGCGCCUCUGCGGGCCCCUCGGGCCCCACGAGGGGCGGCUGGCGGGUGGGGAGUGUGACCCAUCCUCGGUGAGAAAGCCUUCUCUAGCGAUCCAAGAGGUGUGCCUUGGGGUACGGGAUCCCCCGGCCUGCCGCCUCUGUCUCUCUCUCCGUUAUGGUAGCGCUGCAGUAGCGACUCGCUUGCAGAGGAACCCUCCUCAGCUUCCCCCUCGACGGGGUGACGGGGGGAGAGCGAGGGUUCCGCCGGCCACCGCGGUGGUGGCCGAGCGCGGCUCGUCCGGCGAGUGACCCCCCUCCGCCGCGAGUCAGCUCUCCGCCCGCUCCCUUGCCGAGUCGCGACCGGUGCGGACGACGGCGUUUGCGUGGCACGUGGUCGGGCCGCCUGGCCCUGGGAAAGCGUCCCACGGUGGGGGCGCGCCGGUCUCCCGGAGCGGGACCGGGUCGGAGGAUGGACGAGAAUCACGAGCGAUGUGGCCCUGGCGUUGAGUUUGUGGCUGUGGUCGCUUCGGGGCCCCGGGGCUCGUGAGGCAGGUCUUGGUGGGUGCCGAGGGCCUUCCGGCGUCCCAGGCGGGGCGCCGCGGGACCGCCCUCGUGUCUGUGGCGGUGGGAUCCCGCGGCCGUGUUUUCCUGGUGGCCCGGCCAUGCCUGAGGUUUCUCCCUCAGCCGCCCCUCUGCGGGCUCCCAGGUGCCCUUGCCCUCGCGGUCCCCGGCCCUUGCCUGUCUGCGCCCCCUUCCCCGCCCGCCGCCCGCCGAUCCUCUCUCCUCCCCGAGCGGCUCACCGGCUUUACGUCGGUUGGUGGCCGCGUCUGGGACCGAAC
Molecule: long non-coding RNA, 1473 nt
Filed under: Homo sapiens (human)
Lineage: Eukaryota; Metazoa; Chordata; Mammalia; Primates; Hominidae
Description: non-protein coding MIR663AHG:44
Rfam family: mir-663 microRNA precursor family (bases 1207-1296)
Source: RNAcentral